Molecule: long non-coding RNA, 6105 nt
Filed under: Olea europaea (common olive)
Lineage: Eukaryota; Viridiplantae; Streptophyta; Magnoliopsida; Lamiales; Oleaceae
Description: long non-coding RNA (OEUR_LNC015617)
Source: RNAcentral
GGAAUUCGUACCCCAACACCGAAAGCACAUCAAGCACAACACAAUAUUAAAGUGCAAGAAAAUAAAAGAACACAAGAAUGGUCACUGAGUUCGGCCUAAAAGGCCUAAUCUGGGGGGCUCAGGUCAGCCCAAUCCACUAGUGCAAAAACCACCUCCCAGAAAGAGUUCAAUACAACCAAACACUUCACCUUACCAGAUUGAUCAUCGAUCUACAAGAUCUCACAAAGAAUCUGGACUUUCUACACAACAUAUUAAUCUGACCGAAAAAUAUAUUCCUACAGUAUACAACCACACAACCGGAAUAACCUAUGGUUACUAGCUUACAAAAGCAACAAGAUUUUAUCAUAAAAAAUACACUUCUAUCACAGAAGGAAUUUCGAUUAGAAGAAGAAACCAAGAUGAAGAUUUCUUGAAGUUUUAGAGAGAGAGAAAAUGUGAUUGAAACAAAACUCCAAAAUGCAACCAGUGAAGUGACCCGUUUUCAGCCAAAAACGUGACUUGAAGAGUCACUUUUAAUUCAAAGUAAGAUCUCAACCAUUGGUUUAAUCCAAUGACCCUUAUAAUUUCCAAACAAACACAGAUCCGGGUCACGUCCAAUGCUCCAAUCAGUAGCUGCCAUUUGAAGUCUUAACAAAUUUCCGAAAAUACCCUCAAUUUAAAACACAACUUUAGAAACACGUUUUUCUCCUUUCAAUCUUCACCUUGUUUCUCAAGUUGUACACAUCCUCUCAGUUGCGGAAUUUUGCACUUAUAGUGGAAAGGCUGAACAACAUCAUUGCCUUAGGUACCUGCAAAGAAAAAUUACCCAGUAUCAAUGUUGAGAAGUGACAAACACAUUCUAAACUUACUCACAGGCAGAAUUUUUGUGCCCAUAUCAGAUGGGUUAAUGUCAGUAUGAAUUUUAUCUAACAUCAUUUCACCUAAAGAUAGUUUCUCUCUUAUGAAAUGAUAUUUCACCUCAAUAUGCUUGGACCUUUCAUGAUAGACAGGGUUCUUGCUUAACAAUAAUGCACUCUGACUAUCAAUAAGAAUAAUAGGUGAUGAAAAAAGAAAAUUCAGUUCACUUAAAAUUCCUUUCAGCCAUAUACAUUCUUUAACACAUUCAGUAAUUGCCACAUAUUCAGCUUCAGUACUGGAUAAAGUGACAGUUGGUUGAAGUUGAAACUUCCAUGUGAUACAAUUAUCACCAAGUGUAAAGAAAAAAGAUGUGGUAGAUUUUCUUUGAUCCUUGUUUCCAGCAAAAUCAGAAUCCACGUACCCUUUAAGGGUUAAUGGUUCUGAUCCCUUUUUGUACACUAAUCCUACACUUAGUGUCCCAGCUAUAUACCGUAAUAGCCAUUUUAAGCCAGCCUAAUGUGGUUUUCCCGAGUUUGCCAUAAACCUACUUAAAAAACUGAUUGAAUAUGCUAGAUCAGGUCGUGUUGUUAUCAUAGAAAACAUUACUAAUCCUAUUGCAUUGGAGUAAGGGAUAUUUUCCAUGUCUUUGGCCUCAGAUUCAGUUUUAGGACAUUGGGUUGAGGAGAGAUUCAUGUGAGCAGCAAGUGGAACAUUAACAGACUUAGCUUCUUUCAUGCCAAACUUAGAUACAACUUUAUGUAGGUAAAACUCUUGGGUUAUUAUUAACCUGUCUUCUUGUCUAUUCCUAGUUAUCACCAUUCCCAGUAUUUUCUUGGCAUUCCCUAAGUCUUUCAUGUCAAAUUCAAAUUUUAGGAGGUUCCUCAUUCUUUUUAUUUCAGCCUUGCUUGAACUGGCUAGCAGCAUAUCAUCUACAUACAAGAGUAGAUAUAUCUCGCUGCCAGGUUUGGAGUUAUAGUAAUAUAAGCAAUGAUCAUACUCACUUCUCCUAAAACCAAUUUUCACAACAUGUGUCAAACCGAAUGUACCACUGUCUUGGACUUUGUUUGAGUCCAUACAGUGAUUUCUGCAAUUUACAAACAUGAUCAGAUUUCUCCUUUUCCUCGAAACCUUGAGGUUGACACAUAUAGAUGUCCUCAUCCAAUUCCCCAUGCAAGAAUGUUGUUUUGACAUCUAAUUGUUCAAGUUCCCAAUUAAACUGAACAACUAGAGCAAGUAUUAGCCUUAUUGUCUUAUAUUUGAUUACAGGUGAACAAAUUUCAUUGUAAUCAAUUCCCUCCCUUUGGGUGAACCCUUUGGCCACUAAUCUUGCCUUAUACCUCAAAGGGUCAUUGGGGGACAUGCCUUCUUUUAGUUUGUAAAUCCACUUGCAUUGAACCACUCUCUGUUUUUUAGGUUUCUUCACAAGUUUCCAUGUUUUAUUAUCAUUCAGGGAUUUCAUUUCUUCCCUCAUGGCAUCUUUCCAAUUCUGAGAUUUAGAACAACUUAUAGCUUCAUCAUAAGUAUAAGGUUCAGCAUGUUCUAAGUUCUCACCAGUGAUAAGGGCAAAGUCUGUCAGAUUAUUAGUCUCAUAUCUUGGAUUAGGUUUAAUCUGUUUCCUUUCCCUAUCUCUCACUAAUUCAUAAUCUUGGGUACUAGUUUCAUUUUCAGGUGUCACAAUUUCAGUUUCAGUUUGGGCUGUUAUAACUUCACCUUCGCUUGUGUCGUCUGAUCUUACAUUUGGCUGUUCAUUUUUAGGUUCAGUUAUCUCAAUAGAAUUGUGACCCAAUCUUGCCAACUUUACCUCAUUCUGUGAAGUACUAUUUUCAAUUGCAUCCUGUUUAUCCCUUUUACUUUUUAAGCAUGGCAUCUCAGAUUCAUUAAACACUACAUUUCUACUGUUAAUGAUCUUAAUGCCUUUCUCACCUAGUACCCAUAACCUGUACCCUUUAACUCCUUCAGGGUACUCCAACAUGACACAUUUGGUGGCUCUAGGAUCUAAUUUGCCUCCAACUUGAUGUGCAUAUGUAGCGCAUCCAAAGACCCUAAUAUUAGACAGAUUAGGUGUUUUUCCAGUCCACAAUUCCUGAGGGGUCUUCAACUUUACAGAACUGCGUGGUGACCUAUUAAUUAGAUAGGCUGCAGUGCAUAAAGCUUCUGCCCAAAAACCUUUUGCUAUACCAGAACUUAUUAGCAUGCAUCUAACUUUAUUCAUUAGAGUUCUGUUCAUUCUUUCAGCUACCCCAUUCUAUUGGGGUGUGUGCUUAACAGUUCUAUGCCUAAUUAUUCCCUUUUGCCUGCAAAAGUUAUCAAAUUCUGCAUUACAGAAUUCCAACCCAUUAUCUGUCCUUAAGGUUUUUAAUUUUCUGCCCAAUUGAUUUUCAACCGUCGUUAACCAAAUUCUGAAUUUUUGAAAUGUUUCAGAUUUUGUCUUUAAGGGGUAUGUCCAGACCUUUCUAGAAUAAUCAUCAAUUAUAGAAAGAAAAUAUUUAUUCCCACCAAAGGUUGAGUGGCUUUCUGGACCCCACAAAUUUGAGUGGACAUAAUCUAAAGGUCUAUUUGUAGUGUGUGACCCCGUCUCAAAACUGACUCUAUGAGAUUUUCCAAGUACACACGUCUCACAAAAGUCAAGGGGCUCUAUAUUAUCUUUUCCAAACAAUUUUUGAUCAUUUAGAUAUUCUAGCCCCUUAUUUCCAAUAUGUCCCAUUCUACAAUGCCACAAUUCAGAUUUACUUUCAGUAAUGGUUAAGGAUUUUGGAUCAUGGGAAUUAACAGUCUUACCCAUUAGGUAGUACAAACCAUUCCUCUUUAGUCCCUUCAUAACUACAAGAGAUCAUUUGAGAAAUUUCAAAGUAUUAUUUUCAGAUUUAAAAGUGUGUCCCUCAUCUUCAAGAAUUCCUAGUGAAAUGAGAUUUCUUUUUAGAUUUGGGACAUGUCUUACAUUUUUAAUCUGCCUGACACUACCAUCAUACAUUUUGAUUGUAAUGUCACCGAUUCCAAGAACAUUUUGUGAAUUAUUAUCACCCAUAUAUACUUUCCUGGGUUCUAUCUCCUUGUAGUUAUGAAACCAAGUUUUAUUUGGGCACAUAUGAAUUGUACAUCCAGAGUCAAGUAUCCAGUCAGUGUCUGCUUCAUCGUUAGACACAGUCAUAACAAGAAGGCUGUCAAGUUCUGAACUUACAGCAGCAUUAUUCAACUCAUUGUUAUUAGGUUCUUUUAACUUCUUCUUUAAUUCGAAGCAAUCCCUUUUGAAGUGUCCAAGUUUUCCACAGUGAUAGCAUUUUUUAUUACUUUUAUCCCUUGACUUGGACCUACCUCUUGAUUUAGAUUUGAACCUCUUAUUCAACGAAUGGUUCUCUCUUUUAUCAGUUCUCCCUCUCACAAACAGGUUCUCCUCUCUAGGGUUAAUUCUUGUUUCCUUCUUAACCUCCAGCUCCCUAGAUCUUAGGGCAUUUGUCACAAUUGUUUGUGUUAAGGUAUCUCUCGAAUAUUUUAUUGCAUUUCGGAUAUCUUUAUAAGAUUCGGGUAGUGAAUUUAGAAGGAUCACAGCCAGAUCUUCAUCCUCAAAUUUCUUAUCGUUAUGUGAAAGACUCUUGACAAGAAUGCUAAAGUCACUGAGAUUAGAUUCUAAGUCUUUUCCAGGAUCCAUUUUGAAGCUAUACAAUUUUUCCAACAGGUAGAUCUUAUUAGGCAGUGUUUUAGUUAAGAACAAAGUAUCUAGGGCUUCCCACAGGGCUCGAGCAGUUUUAUGUUCUUCAACUUAUCUCACUAUGUUAUCAGACAAGUGUAGUAUAAUUGAACUAUAUGCUAUUUCAUUCAUAUCUUCAAUUUCAGUAGGCUUAGCUUUCAAUUCAUCAGGAAACUUUUCAGGAUCAUCAAGGGCUUUUGCAACCCUUUGUGGACCAAAAUGGCCCUCAUUUUCUGUUUCCAUAUAGAGUAAUUACCCUUUCCAUCGAAUUGACUUAAUUCGACCUUCGAACCCAUUGCGGGUUCUGUAAAAGGAUUGUUACUCAAGGACAUAAGUGAUUUAAUUCAAGAAAUCACUUAAGUUACAGAAAAAGUUUUUGAAAUUUUUUUUUCCAGAUAAUUGACAAGUAAGCUGACCUGAAAAUAAGCAGACAAUAAUCCAAUAUAUACUGAUAAAAAACACAAUAACUAAAAAAGGAUCAAUUUCAGAUUUCCAAAAAUCUGGUACCAAUCAAUAAGAUUCCAGAAAAAAUGAAAUUUCCUAAAAAAGUUUUCCUAUCACAAUUAAACACAAUAUUCAGUUUCUUUGAAUGAUACAAUCACAAUAACAUGCUUGAAAUCAGAUUCAACAUUUAUAUCAGGCAAAGGACAACAGUGUUUAAUUGUUAAAGAUCUCACCAAAAUACUGUGUAAUACAAUAUUUAAACAACGCAGUUUCGGUUUCUGCAGAUAGGGGUUCGAAACCCUAGCUUCCAAGAAUCACUAUAUUUCACUUUCAAAUCACUGCACAAGUGAAGUAAAGAUGUUAAUACGAUAAGAGAUUAAACUGUAUCCAAAUAUACCUUACCUCACGGCCUUGUAGGCUCUGAUACCAGAUUUGUUAGGGAAUUCGUACCCCAACACCGAAAGCACAUCAAGCACAACACAAUAUUAAAGUGCAAGAAAAUAAAAGAACACAAGAAUGGUCACCCAGUUCGGCCUAAAAGGCCUAAUCUGGGGGGUUCAGGUCAGCCCAAUCCACUAGUGCAAAAACUACCUCCCAGAAAGAGUUCAAUACAACCAAACACUUCACCUUACCAGAUUGAUCAUCGAUCUACAAGAUCUCACAAAGAAUCUGGACUUUCUACACAACAUAUUAAUCUGACCGAAAAAUAUAUUCCUACAGUAUACAACCACACAACCGGAAUAACCUAUGGUUACUGUAGCUUACAAAAUCAACAAGAUUUUAUCAUCAAAAAUACACUUCUAUCACAGAAGGAAUUUCGAUUAGAAGAAGAAACCAAGAUGAAGAUUUCUUGAAGUUUUAGAGAGAGAGAAAACGUGACUGAAACAAAACUCCAAAAUGCAGCCAGUGAAGUGACCCGUUUUCAGCCAAAAACGUGACUUGAAGAGUCACUUUUAAUUCAAAGUAAGAUCUCAACCAUUGGUUUAAUCCAAUGGCCCUCAUAGUUUCCAAACAAACACAGAUCUGGGUCACGUCCAAUGCUCCAAUCAGUAGCUGCCAUUUGAAGUCUUAACAAAUUUCCGAAAAUACCCUCAAUUUAAAACACAACUUUAGAAACACGUUUUUCUCCUUUCAUAUAC